RNAcentral lists this long non-coding RNA (2387 nucleotides) under Canis lupus familiaris (dog). Its description in RNAcentral is "lncRNA (ENSCAFG00845000260.1)". Lineage: Eukaryota; Metazoa; Chordata; Mammalia; Carnivora; Canidae. The record is from RNAcentral.
CUUUUUUUUUAUUUUUUUUUAUUUUUUAUUUAUUUAUAAUAGUCACACAGAGAGAGAGAGAGAGAGGCAGAGACAUAGGCAGAGGGAGAAGCAGGCUUCAUGCACCGGGAGCCCGAUGUGGGAUUCGAUCCCGGGUCUCCAGGAUCACGCCCUGGGCCAAAGGCAGGCGCCAAACCGCUGCGCCACCCAGGGAUCCCUGUAUUUUGGUCUUUAUGUAAGUUUAUUUAUAAGUAAAUGAAUGACAGCAAUGAUACAAGGAACUGGAGGAAAGAUUAGAAAAUAUUUUUUUUCUUAAUAUAUAUAUAUUAAAAUACACAAACAUUUUAAGGUGCUCACAGUACUCAUGAAGGGACACAGUGUUAACUGAAAGUGACUUGAAUUUUGUAAAUGUAUACUGCAAACUCUAGAGAAACCACUAAAAAAAGGUUUAAAAAAAGAAGCACAAUUAGAAUGCUAAGUAAGGAAAUAAAAUGAAAUCAUGUAAGUGUUCAACUCAAACCACAAAAUGCAGAAAAAUGUGGAAGACAAAAAAAGAAAUAAAGAACAACAGCAACAAAUAAAAUAUAUAUUCAUCUAACUAUAUUUAUCAUUACCUUAAAAGUAAAUGGUCUAAAUACACAAAGUAAAAGAAAUAGCCAGAAUAAAUAAAAAAACAAGACUCAACUAUAUGGUAAUAUAUAUAUGCACACACACACACAUAUAUAUACACACACAUAUAUACAUAUAUAUAGUAAACAUAAUAUAUAUGUAUAUUAAGUAUAUGCAUAUAUACAUAUUAUAUACAUAAUAUGUAAAUUUAUAUAAAAUAUAAAUAUGUGGAAAGAUACACCAUGCUAAUAUGUAAUAAAAACAAAGUGGCAGUAAUAAUAUUAAUUUCAGAGAGAGGAAGAGAAGAAACUUCAGAACAAGAAAGUUAUCAGGGAUAAAGCAGGGCAUUACAUAACAAUAAAGAGAUUAAUACUCCAAGAAGACAUAACAUUCUUUCAUGUGUAGUGAAUAACAACGAAGCUUCAAAAUACAUGACAAAAAUUGGUUAGAGCUGCAAGGAGAAAUAGAUUAAUCCACUAUUAUAGUUGGAGGUUUAACAUCCUUCUAACAAAAAUGGACUCAACAGCACCAUCAAUCAACUAGCUGGACACCUAUAGACUACUUCAUUCAACCAGAGCAGAUUACACCUUGUUCUUAAGCUCACAUGUAAUAUUCACAAAGAUAGACCACAUUCUGGGUCACAUCCUAACAAAUUUAAAAGAACAGAAAACAUACAAUGUCUUCUCUCAUACCAAAAUAGAAUUAAACUUGAAAUCAGUAACAGAAAGAUAUCUGGAAAAUCCUAUAAUACAUUAAGGUUAAAUAAAAGAAUUCUAAAUAACACAUGGAUCAAAGGAAAAAUCUCAAGAGAAAUUGAAAAGUAAAGUUGACCCUUGAAUAACACAGGGUUUAGUGGCACUUACUCCUCAAAUACUUGAAAAUCUGCAUAUAACUUUUGACUCUCCCAAUAUUUAACUACUAAUAGCCAACUGUUGGCUAGAAGCAUAAUAUAAUAUAACAUAAACAGUUGAAUAACACAUGUUUUCUAUAUUAUAUCUAUUACAUACUAUAUUCUUACAAUAAAGGAAGCUAGAGAAAAGAAAAUGUUAUUAAGAAAAUCAUAGAAAAAAUACAUUUGCAGUACUAUACUGUAUUUGUUUAAAAAAAAAUCCACAUAUAAUGGGUCAUAAGUAGUUCAAAGCCAUGUUGUUCAAGAUUCACCCUGGUUUUGAAAUAAAUGGAAAUGAAACUGUAACUUAUCAAGAUUUUAAAAUGCAGCAAAAACAAUGUUUAAAGUUAAAUUUUAAUACUGAGUACAUAUAUCAGAAAAGAAAAAUCUAAAAUUAAUAAUCUAAGUUUCUACCUUAGGAAACCAAACAAAGAAGAGCAAAUAAAAUUCUAAAUAAGUAGAAAAAAUAAAAAGUUACAAUUAGAGCUGAAAUCAAUGAUAUUGAAAAUGAAAAAUCAAUAGAGAAGAAUAACUAAACAAAAACACUUUAAAAAAAAUCAGUAAUUUCAGUAAGACUCUAGCCAGGCUAACAAGAAAGUAAGAGAGUAAACCCAAAUUACUAAUAUUAGAAAUGGAAGAGGGGACAUCACUACAGAUCCCAUGGACAUUUAAAAGAUAAUAAAGCAAUAUAUAAAUAACACUAUGCCCCCAAAUUUGAUAAUCUAUAUAAAAUGAGCCAAUCCCUUGAUAGACACAUUCUGCCAAAACUUGGACACACACACAAAAAAAUGCACAAUCUGAAUAGAUCUAUCUCUAUUACAGAAAUUGAAGCCAUAAUUUACAACCUUCCCAAAGAAGGUUUCCAAAUAAUCUUUCCAAAAGAAAAGGUGAUAAAUUCACUGGUGAAUUC